CAAAGCACUAAUCAAGAAUAUUGAUUAUACAAAUCAAAAUUAUUGCACAUGGUUUCUCCACUUAAAUAAAAAUGUCUCUGUUCACAUUUGACACUUUGAUGUACUCAUGAUUUAUUUAUUUAUUUAAUGAAUUAAUAUUGCUAUUCGCUUUCAUUUUAAUCGUGAAGAUAGCUAUGGUGUUUUUGGGUAAAAAAAAUCCAUUUUUGUCUGUUAUGGGAAAGGCUAUUUACAGAAACCCACUAGCUACAACAAAUAAUGGUGCUGUUAGUCUAACCAGUCUAGAAAUCCAUUUCCCAAUUCAACAAGAUGCAGCAUGGUGAGCCUCCUGACUCUCUCUCUCUCUCUCUUAAUUUGUCUUUUACACAGAGCCAUUUAUAUCAAUAACAAAGACUUCUUUACUCUGUUCUUCAGGUUACGGGCAUGGAAAGGUCAUCCUCACUCGGGUUCUCGUUGCCUCCUUCUUGGGGAUUGCCACCGCCGCUGCUACUAAAUAUUUCCGGAAAAGGUCGAAAGCUAGAAGGGAUGCACUAAACAUCAUCCCAAAGCUGGACAGGACAGAAUCUGGUCGUGUUGGAAAUCUUGAAAGAUUCUCUCACUAUGUUGCUAGGCAACUGGGAUUUACAGAUCCAAAUGAGUGUGCACGGCUAUGCAAGUUGGCUUAUGAUUAUUUAAGGAAAUCCAAGGAUUGUGAGGCUAACAUCUACGAAUAUUUUGCUAAUGAAGCUAAGGCAGAGUCUCUGUAUGUGAAGCUUAUAGAAGAGUUUGAAAGAUGCAUCCUCUGUUACUUUGCCUUCCAUUGGACUCAGGUUUCUCAUUUGAUCACUCAGGUGAUCAAUGAUGAAUCAGAGAAGAAGCCAAAGCUGAAAGACUUUGUAAUGGCAGCCACAAGGAAACAAAGAUUUGAUAGGGUGACCAAGGACUUAAAGGUGACAAGGGUAUUCUCUACGCUGGUGGAGGAGAUGAAAGCAAUCGGCAAGGGUGAUUCACAGAGUUCAGAUUUGAUGGUGCCGAUGGCCCUCAGUGAGAGAAGUCCGGUGCUUCUCCUUAUGGGUGGUGGUAUGGGUGCUGGCAAGAGCACUGUCAUCAAAGAAAUUCUCAAAGAGUCAUUCUGGUCAGGAGCAGCACCGGUAAUAGUAGAGGCUGAUGCAUUUAAAGAAUCAGAUGUUAUUUACAGAGCCAUAAGCGCUAUGGGUCAUCACGAUGACAUGCUUCAAACAGCUGAAUUGGUGCACCAAUCAUCAACUGAUGCUGCAUCAUCUCUGCUAGUUACUGCGUUGAACGAAGGUAGAGAUGUGAUCAUGGAUGGUACACUCUCAUGGGAGCCUUUUGUUGACCAGACGAUUGCAAUGGCACGUAACGUGCACAAAAACAGGUAUCGAAUGGGAAUCGGAUACAAGGUGGUUGAGGAUGGAACCAUUAUUGAAAAUUACUGGGAAAGAGAGGAAGAUGAAAUUCAGGAAAGGAAACCAUACAGGAUAGAGAUGGUUGGAGUUGUUUGUGAUGCUUAUCUUGCUGUUGCUAGAGGCAUCAGGAGAGCUAUAAUAACCAGAAGAGCUGUGAGGGUUGGUUCACAGUUGAAGUCCCACCAGAGAUUUGCUGCUGCAUUUCCAAGAUACUGCGAACUUGUUGACAAUGCCAGGCUAUAUUGCACCAAUGCAGUGGGAGGACCACCUACGUUGAUAGCGAGGAAAGACGCAGACAGCAAGUUGCUAAUUGAUCCAGUAGAUAUCAGAUGCUUGACAAAUGUGAGCAGUAUAAACUCUGAUGCAGAAUCUAUCUACGAGCUUUAUUCUGACCCUUCCCCAAUAUACGAAUCCGGCACGGUUUGGAAAGAUAUCAUCUUGGCCCCUUCGAGAUCUGCCCUGCAAUUAGAGCUCAAAAUGGCAAUUCAAAUGAUUGAAAACCCGCCAUCUGCAAACACUUGUAGCUUGAAGUGAUCCAGUUUUGAAAAACCCAGCCUCAAAUUCUUUUAACUCGUGAAUUCUAAUUUUGUGAACCGAGUAUGUGCUUAUUCAAUUGGAGAAGCUUGUUAGUAAUUGAAA
RNAcentral lists this unclassified non-coding RNA (2042 nucleotides) under Hevea brasiliensis (rubber tree). Lineage: Eukaryota; Viridiplantae; Streptophyta; Magnoliopsida; Malpighiales; Euphorbiaceae. The record is from RNAcentral.